GUGCUGACUUUGGCAGCACAUAUACUAAAAUGGGAAUGAUACAGAAAUUAGCAAGACCCCUGCAUGAAUGACAUGCAUAUUCAUGAAAUGUUCCAUAUUUUC
RNAcentral lists this small nuclear RNA (102 nucleotides) under Notamacropus eugenii (tammar wallaby). The record is from RNAcentral. Lineage: Eukaryota; Metazoa; Chordata; Mammalia; Diprotodontia; Macropodidae.